UACGUAGGGUCCAAGCGUUAUCCGGAAUCACUGGGCGUAAAGCGUGCGUAGGUGGCGUGUUAAGUGUGAUGUUAAAUCGCGGGGCUCAACCCUGUCGCUGUAUCACAUACUGGCACACUAGAGGACGGCAGAGGCAAGUGGAAUUUGUAGUGUAGCAGUGAAAUGCGUAGAUAUUACAAGGAACACCAAUGGCGAAGGCAGCUUGCUGGGCCAAUCCUGACACUGAGGUACGAAAGCGUGGGGAGCGAACAGG
This 253-nucleotide ribosomal RNA is filed under the name uncultured bacterium. RNAcentral describes it as "partial 16S ribosomal RNA". It matches the Rfam family "Bacterial small subunit ribosomal RNA", at positions 524 to 776 of the family's 1533-position model. The record is from RNAcentral.